This 292-nucleotide long non-coding RNA is filed under the name Trifolium pratense (red clover). RNAcentral describes it as "long non-coding RNA (TPRA_LNC010187)". The record is from RNAcentral. Lineage: Eukaryota; Viridiplantae; Streptophyta; Magnoliopsida; Fabales; Fabaceae.
AAGGCUUAAAUGCAGUUUUGGUCCCCCAAGUUUCCUAAUUGCUCUAUUUUGGUCCCCCUAAUUUCAAUUGCUUGAUUUUAAUCCCUCACUUUUACCCCCUUUUGCAAUUUGUGGCCCCUCUUGACUAUUUUGACCAAAAUUAUGCUGACAUGGAUAUUAUAUACACGUGUCUUAAUUUAAUUGGUCAAAACAAAUAUGUAUUAUUUAUUUAAAAAUAAAAAAAUUAAUUGGAAGCCAAGGUCACGUGAGUAUUAUUUUUAUUUUGCAGAAACUCAUUGUUGUCUCUCCCAAU